This 1371-nucleotide long non-coding RNA is filed under the name Salmo salar (Atlantic salmon). RNAcentral describes it as "lncRNA (ENSSSAG00000083520.1, ENSSSAG00000085631.1)". The record is from RNAcentral. Lineage: Eukaryota; Metazoa; Chordata; Actinopteri; Salmoniformes; Salmonidae.
CCCGAGUGGCGCAGCAUCACUACAGACCCUGGUUCGAUCCCAGGCUGUAUCACAACCGCCCGUGAUCGGGAGUCCUAUAGGGCGCGCACAAUUGGUCCAGCGUCGUCCGGACUCCUCCACCUUGGCUGGUGUCCUUGGAGACUGGAGUUGGCCGGCCUGUCACACCUAGGCCUUAUUAACUAAUGGGCUACCUGAGCUCCUUAAAAAUGGAGCUUCCAGUUCGCUCUCGGUCUGCUGCUGGAGGGAGAACACCAACGGGGAACCGCUGCUGCUGUCACCGCCACUACAGCAUCUACUGUCACUUGGAUCACAUCUCGUCCAGCCACCGAUGACCGGCAGCCAGGGGGAGACCAAACAGGGUGGAGAGAAAUGUUGACAGUUUUUAAUAUUGUCAGAAGGUGGGUGUAGCUGGUGCAUGAAGUCAGGCGCAGGAGAGCAGAAACGAGGCUUCUGGUGGCAAAACUGAUUACAUCUUAAUCUCGCUUCUUGGAGGGAGACAAUGGCUCUGUAAGUACAGCUGCUUGGCAGAAAGAGACAGAUACAUUAAAAACAAAUUAAAAUAAGAAAAUCUUCCCAGCGACAGUAUCUCUCACACCUGUCAGCCUGAAAAACAGGCCUAUUAAACAAUGAAUUGGAAAACGAACACACUGUCUUGGUUAUGCAAGUUGGGGGCUCUCUGUACAGUACGUUUACCUAAGGAUCAGAUCCAAUUUUUGCUUAAAAUGACAUUACCAAAUCUAACUGCCUGUAGCUCAGGAUCUGAAGCAAGGAUAUGCAAAUUCUUGAUACAUUACAUUUACAUUACAUUUAAGUCAUUUAGCAGACGCUCUUAUCCAGAGCGACUUACAAAUUGGUGCAUUCACCUUAUGAUAUCCAGUGGAACAACGACUUUACAAUAGUGCAUCUAAAUCUUUUAAGGGGGGGGGGGGGUUACUUUAUCCUAUCCUAGGUAUUCCUUAAAGAGGUGGGGUUUCAGGUGUCUCCGGAAGGUGGUGAUUGACUCCGCUGUCCUGGCGUUGUGAGGGAGCUUGUUCCACCAUUGGGGUGCCAGAGCAGCGAACAGUUUUGACUGGGCUGAGCGGGAACUGUGCUUCCUCAGAGGUAGGGGGGCCAGCAGGCCAGAGGUGGAUGAACGCAGUGCCCUUGUUUGGGUGUAGGGCCUGAUCAGAGCCUGAAGGUAUGGAGGUGCCGUUCCCUUCACAGCUCCGUAGGCAAUCACCAUGGUCUUGUAGCGGAUGCGAGCUUCAACUGGAAGCCAGUGGAGAGAGCGGAGGAGCGGGGUGACGUGAGAGAACUGAUACCAUUUGAAAGGAAAAACUUUGAAGUUUGUGGAAAUGUGAAAUGAAUGUAGGAUAACACAUUAGAUCUGGU